GCCUACGACCAUACCACUCCGAAUAUACCGGUUCUCGUCUGAUCACCGAAGUCAAGCGGAGUCGGGCCGGGUCAGUACUAGGAUGGGAGACCGCCUGGGAACACCCGGUGUUGUAGGUU
Molecule: ribosomal RNA, 119 nt
Organism: Corticium candelabrum
Lineage: Eukaryota; Metazoa; Porifera; Homoscleromorpha; Homosclerophorida; Plakinidae
Source: RefSeq, a predicted model, not a curated record